GGCCUCACCUCUCCCUCCUUUGACUCUAACCCGUCUUACACCGUUAGUCUGGUCUGUGUUACCUUCACCUUGAGCUGCCUUCGUCCUUUACUGCUGUCCUCUCACCGUCCCGCCAACCGUUUCCUCUCAACACACUCUUCUUCAUCCCCCACCGACUGCCCGGAUCUGCUUUCUUCAUUCCAAGCACUUUCAUCUUUCAGCUUUUGAAUGACAGCAUUUAAAGUGAUAUCAGAGAGGAAGGAAACUUCAUUUUUUUAUUUGUAGAUCUGCUGUAAAAGGCACGAUAGAACCACCUGAAGACAGUGAAGAAGAGGUGGAUUCUGCAAUGGACCAGAUAGAGAAGAACUGCAACAAAUCAGUUGUCUCAACUUUAAAGACAUUUCCUGACAUGUUUCUCUUAAUCUGCUGCCCUGCCUGUUUUAGCUCUCUCUUUACUGCUUUCUGCAAAUUUGCUGACUCGGGUGUCUCCUCAUUCUGAUUGACUGAACACACCUGAUCCAGGUAAUCACUAGUAAGAGGUGCACACAGAGCUGGAAAACAGGCAGGGUGGUAGAUUUAAAGGACCAGGAUUGAGCAGCCGUGUCUUAACGAUAGAGAAAAUCCACAUGUGGUUUAGUAUUAUUUUUAAAGAAACAGGCUUAGUCUCCAUCUACUAAAGUUUAGACUCUUACAGAUGCAACAUUCACAGUUGGCAGAGUCAUGGCAUGUUAGCGCCGUUUGUCUUCACAUCAACAACUGGACAGAAUGGUUUCAGUCCCGUUCCCUGCAUUGCCCUGGAAGCAGCUGCUUUGUUUAAGCUGCAUCCUCGCCGCCGCCGCCGAGGAGACCGACUGCGACUGUGGCUGGCAUUCAUCUCAAAGAGGAAGAAAGGCGGCGCGCACAUCAAAAAGGAGGCUGACAAACAAGUGGAAUCAGACAGUAACAGGCUUGUGGCUUCCUCAUCAGUGGCAUCUCCUCAUGCAAGAUUUGACUCAUGCUUGAUGGAUCAGAACCAGCUGCGACGGGAUUCUGCUGCUGCGGCGGUUCUGUGGCCAGCAGAGGGCAGAGCAACUCUAAAACAUGAACUGCCGCUUUGUGAGUUUGUUGGAGCUGUCAUACUUUCUAGGAGAUCCUCUCAUUAACAGUUGACUUUCCCUGUAAUCAAUGUGAAUCCAUAAAUCACGGACAUUAAGUUCGGGGUUUCACAUCCUUGGAAAUUUGUCACCUUUCCAUCGAGAAAGACCCUAACGUCUGAGUCCUCGCUGAAACUUCAGCCUUUUGAGUGGGACCAAAUUUCAAACCAUAAAAUGGAGAUAAUUGGAUUGAAAAGGUCAGAAACCAACGAGAAGCUGCAGGACUGGCGAGAAUUUUAGGAUCCAUCAGGGAGGAUUAAAUCCAUUUCAUUAAAAAGAGAAAAUUAUGAAACUCAAACCGUUUUAGUCGAUCAGCUUGAGGUUAUGUGAAGCAUCCAGGGCUAAGUGAGGACAAAACAGCCUGAUAUUAACUAGAACAAUGGCACUCUAGAAGUUUCUCCUACAGAAUAAAAUUCCUGCUGUUGGUCUGUUUCCAAUCUCAUUCCAAAUAAAAUGGAUUUCUUGU
Oryzias latipes (Japanese medaka) is the source of this 1578-nucleotide non-coding RNA. The record is from RefSeq and is a predicted model, not a curated record. NCBI's taxonomy places the organism in Eukaryota, Metazoa, Chordata, Actinopteri, Beloniformes, Adrianichthyidae.